RNAcentral lists this unclassified non-coding RNA (348 nucleotides) under uncultured bacterium. RNAcentral's name for it is "partial contains 16S ribosomal RNA, 16S-23S ribosomal RNA intergenic spacer, and 23S ribosomal RNA". The stretch from base 218 to 348 matches the Rfam family "Bacterial large subunit ribosomal RNA", at positions 1 to 131 of the family's 2925-position model. The record is from RNAcentral.
UGCGGCUGGAUCCCCUCCUUUCUGGAGCCGCGAGUAAGCCUUCGGGCCGAAAGCGCUUCUAGAGUCGCCCGUACUUCACACCUCGAUCUGUCAGCAGCAGGCAGUCAGCAGUCGGCAGUUACUGCCAUCUGCGCGCUGCCGUCUGCUCUUGGCUCUUUGACAACUGACGAGUGAGUGGUGUGUGUGGUGUUUGAGGAAUCACACCGAAGAACUAUGAGAUCAAGCGCGUAAGGGCGCACGGUGGAUGCCUUGGCACAGGGAGGCGAUGAAGGACGUGGUAAGCUGCGAUAAGCCUGGGGGAGCUGCAAACAAGCUGUGAUCCCAGGAUCUCCGAAUGGGGAAACCCGG